CGGUGAUAUACUAUCUCCGCCGGUUCUAAAUGAACCCGACGGUGAUGACCACUCAUCACCGCCGGUUCGUGUUCUAAACCGGCGGUGAUAGGUUUUCAAGUAUCACCGCCGGGUCGUAACACGAGCCGGCGGUGAUGCCUACACAACACCACCGGAUUAUAAGAUAAGCCGACAGUGAUAGCUAAUUUUUCCUUAUCUAGUCCCCUCCCUCUCCCUCGUCCAUUCUGUGUCUCUCUCCCUCUCCCCGUGUCUCCCUCAUCCAUCUCUCUCUCCCUCCUCCCUCCUCCCUCCCCUCCCCGCCUCUUCCCUGUUCCUCAACGGGCCCUCCUCUCCUCCUGUGCCGCCGUCGGACGGAGCACCUCCCCUCCCUGCCUCUUCUGCCGUGCCACGCGGCGGGGAUGCGGACGCGCUGCGCGAAGGAGCGGUGGCAAGGAGCAGUGCUGCGCUGCGCGGAGCAGCGCCGCGACGGCGGGGAGCAGAAGCCGGCUGCGCGCAGCGCGCCGUGGAGCAGGGCAGCAGCGGCCGGCCGCGCGGCGGCGUGGCGUGGCGCGUCGCAGAGCAGCGCAGUGGUGGCGGGGAGCAGUGGCCGGCCGCGCGCGGCACUCAGCGCAGCGGCGGCUGGGAGCAGCCACGGACUAUGCAAUUCUGCUGCUCCUCACAUUAUCAACCGGCCUGCAAGAUGUUCGGCAGAAUGCCGCACAAGAUUCUUGGUGCAAAGGUUCAGGUAGAAAUGGGUCACUUACUGAUAGUAGGAGCAGGAGCAGCACAAGGUGGCAACUGAUCAGCUCCUCAAAGGCCAAAGUGUCACUGGUGCAGCUUUUUUUUGUGCCUUUUUCUGAAUAAUUCAAAUCAUCAGGCAAUGUGGGAUACUGAGAGCUAUGUUGGUAGAUUGUGUACUCUUCAAAUUAUGUCAUUCUAUUUCUAAAUAUAGAGACUGAAUGCCACUCAAAUUUAAAGCGCAUUGCACCAAUUGCCAAGAGAAAGGCAUAAGGUAUUUGAGUCGAGAAACGCACUAUCAUAAAUCAUUGUUUCUACCUGGUUGUAAUGUUUUAUUGUGAAACUAAGAUUUUCUGUGUCCACUUUACAUGUACAUUUGUAUCUAAAUCA
Molecule: long non-coding RNA, 1107 nt
Organism: Panicum virgatum (switchgrass)
Lineage: Eukaryota; Viridiplantae; Streptophyta; Magnoliopsida; Poales; Poaceae
Exons: 2
Source: RefSeq, a predicted model, not a curated record